Non-coding RNA from Microcebus murinus (gray mouse lemur), 2426 nucleotides. NCBI's taxonomy places the organism in Eukaryota, Metazoa, Chordata, Mammalia, Primates, Cheirogaleidae. The record is from RefSeq and is a predicted model, not a curated record.
CCAGUGCGCGGGGUCUUCGUCCCAAUAGAGGCCGCUGUGUAGGUGCUCUGGGACUUAGACCCUAGCUUGAGCUGGUCAAUAAAACUCCUUUUGAUGAUUUCAGCCUCAGUGACCCUGUCUCUUUGUUCUGUGGUACUAUGGUUUCCCGCUCUAACACAGGCAUGGCAGAUAAUCAGUUUCCCACUCUGAGAGUCCCGCUCCUCUCACCUGCGGGCGUACUCGGCAGCGCCAUCGUGUCCCUUCCAGCAGAGAAAUAUAAUGAAGAGGAAUUGAUGUGUCCUAGGAAAUGAAAUAUUUCAAUUUUAACAUAAACGGCCAACUGCUCUCCAAAAUGGUCGUACCAUUUUACAAUCUUUCACUACCUAUCUUCAGAAAAAUACUAUGCUCUACGUGGAAGAGGAUUUGAAGAGCUCCAUGUUGUACAGUGUGCCGCAUGUCACACCAGCUCCGCGACACAUUGCACUCGGAAUGAGCAGUGGCAGCAGUGAUUACAAAGACAAACGCACAAAACCAGAGUUCUUUCAACACCGUGAUUGUAUGUGACCACGUGGAAUUUCCAUUUGUGCUGAAAAUUUAAAACAAUGAAGCAGUAGACAGCACAAGACAUAUUUUUUGUUUGGGACGCGCAAAACAGCGUCAGGAGCACCCAGAGGCUUGGCGAGGAGAUGAUGAAGCACAUGUCAGACAGGAGGGCAGCUGUGGCUGUGUCUGCAGAGGAGAAGCCAUGGUGUGCAGCCAGGCAGACCUGCGUUGGAUCAGGCCUGUCGCCUGCUGCUUGUGAGCCCUGGGCAAGGUGGUGAUAGAAGAUAGCACAGUGCUUAACAAGGUGACACAAUGAAAUCUUCAGUAAUCAAUGUUACAAAGCUCCAUGUGGGCUGAUGACUCCAGGAAGACUUGGAGGAGGCAGGGUUGGGAGUCCCUUAAGUGCAUGGGUGGGAUUGGUUGGGGACACGGAAUGACAAGAGGGAGGGCUGUGGGGCUGGGGUAACAGGGGCAGGGGUGUGAGCUUUACUGAGACAGAAGAUGUGGACAGUGAGGGACAGUGAGACUCAGGACAGGUCAGGACUGUGGAGAGGGCUCUGGGCCGCGUCACGCCCAACGUGGCUGAGGCAAGUGCACCUCCCUGUGAGGCUGUUCCACAUUCUGAGAGGUCGGACUAGCCCACCUUCCACGGCAGAGCUAUUGUCCUUCCUCAGCAUGGGCCAGGCCACCGGGACAUGCCAAUUCUGCUUACCUAAUAAAGGGAAACAAUAUUUUGUUAUUAACACAUGUGGUAGAAAGAAAAUAAUACAAUGUGUUAUGUUUAAAUACCGAAUGUCAGAAACAUUGCACUCAUCUGGAUCCCUCAGGGUCUGCUGUAGGCUUGUCACCGGCCUCCUGGGCUGCGCAGAUAACCAGUGCCAGGAGUAAGUCUGAGCACAUCGCAUUUGUUCUCUCCCUUCAUCUUCAUCCUGGCCCUAAAAGGCACCAAGAGAGUCGCACAGGCCACCAAAUCAGCAGCAGCAUCAGGAUGCACAUGGCUGGGGGCGGCCCUGGGCCUGGCCUCCCUCUGUCCCCCAGGUGGAGCCCCAGGAAGAACAGGAGGCCAGGGGUCCCAGGUUGGGCUCUGCCCCUCGCCUGGGGCCUCCUCCCCACCCACCCCUUCUAGCUGUCCCCUGUCCAUGCUUUCUCCUGCAGGGUCACACCAGCGCCUUCUCACAGUCUCACAGGAUGCUCAGACUGACUGCCUCUGUCAGCUGACCUUGGGUUCCAUGCCAGCGGCUAGCCAGACUGACAGCCACUGCCCCGCCAGCGUGCUGGAGUCUGCUUUCAUGGUGUGCACUGCAAACCUCAGCAUCCUGGAGAAAGAAGAUCCACAUAGCUGAGCCAAGAGAGGGCUUGCAUUUCCUGAGCCCUGCCAUCUGCCAGAAAUGCAGAAGUGUAGGACUCUGCUGGUGGCUCUGGCUUUACCCAAUGAUGCAUUAGAAAUUCUAGAAAAGAAAGAUGUUUUCCUGAUAAUGGGUUGACUCCAUGUCCCUGACUCUGGACAGAGAGGAAUAAAAUAAAAUAAAUUUUCCAUCUUAAAAUCUAUGUUCCUCUUACCUUAAAAAUGAAAGUGGAUUUCUCUGUGUCUGCUCUCUCCUUUUAAGAGAGACAUUUUCUCAGUUACUGUUCUGACCAGACAAGGAAGCAUAUGUUCUGCAGAGCACAGGGACUAGAGUACCGAACCUGCUCUGAUAAUUCCAUCGGCAACAUGCCUAGUGUGUGCAUCGGAGAUAAGGGUUUAAUGAUGUACCCUCGAUGCCAGAUCUGGGAGUAACAGGGAGGGUGGUCACAGUUCACUGAACACAUGCUACACAUCUUUUUUCGAAUUUAUUAUUAUUUGAGUUAGAAAGGUUUCUUAUUACUAGAUAAGCAGGCCAGGAGCUUCAAGGUGCAGGCUAGCU